This 73-nucleotide transfer RNA is filed under the name Oreochromis niloticus (Nile tilapia). It matches the Rfam family "tRNA". Rfam says of the family: Transfer RNA (tRNA) molecules are approximately 80 nucleotides in length. Their secondary structure includes four short double-helical elements and three loops (D, anti-codon, and T loops). Lineage: Eukaryota; Metazoa; Chordata; Actinopteri; Cichliformes; Cichlidae. RNAcentral also lists the same sequence under 1 other name. The record is from Rfam by way of RNAcentral.
GUCUCCAUGGUGUUGUGAAUUACACAUUUGCUUGGCAAGUGAGGGGUUGCUGGUUCAAUUCCAGCUGGAAACA